GACGAACGCUGGCGGCGUGCCUAAUACAUGCAAGUAGAACGCUGAAGAGAGGAGCUUGCUCUUCUUGGAUGAGUUGCGAACGGGUGAGUAACGCGUAGGUAACCUGCCUGGUAGCGGGGGAUAACUAUUGGAAACGAUAGCUAAUACCGCAUAAAAUUGAUUAUUGCAUGAUAAUUAAUUGAAAGAUGCAACUGCAUCACUACCAGAUGGACCUGCGUUGUAUUAGCUAGUUGGUGAGGUAACGGCUCACCAAGGCGACGAUACAUGGCCGACCUGAGAGGGUGAUCGGCCACACUGGGACUGAGACACGGCCCAGACUCCUACGGGAGGCAGCAGUAGGGAAUCUUCGGCAAUAGGGGGAACCCUGACCGAGCAACGCCGCGUGAGUGAAGAAGGUUUUCGGAUCGUAAAGCUCUGCUGUAAGAGAAGAACGGGUGUGAGAGUGGAAAGUUCACACUGUGACGGUAUCUUACCAGAAAGGGACGGCUAACUACGUG
RNAcentral lists this ribosomal RNA (497 nucleotides) under uncultured bacterium. Its description in RNAcentral is "partial 16S ribosomal RNA". It matches the Rfam family "Bacterial small subunit ribosomal RNA", at positions 28 to 507 of the family's 1533-position model. The record is from RNAcentral.